UGGGGAAUCUUGCGCAAUGGGCGAAAGCCUGACGCAGCCAUGCCGCGUGAAUGAUGAAGGUCUUAGGAUUGUAAAAUUCUUUCACCGGGGACGAUAAUGACGGUACCCGGAGAAGAAGCCCCGGCUAACUUCGUGCCAGCAGCCGCGGUAAUACGAAGGGGGCUAGCGUUGCUCGGAAUUACUGGGCGUAAAGGGAGCGUAGGCGGAUAGUUUAGUCAGAGGUGAAAGCCCAGGGCUCAACCUUGGAAUUGCCCUUGAUACUGGCUAUCUUGAGUACGGAAGAGGUAUGUGGAACUCCGAGUGUAGAGGUGAAAUUCGUAGAUAUUCGGAAGAACACCAGUGGCGAAGGCGACAUACUGGUCCGUUACUGACGCUGAGGCUCGAAAGCGUGGGGAGCAAACAGGAUUAGAUACCCCGGUAGUCCCUGAGCGGGCUGGCAAGGCGCAU
RNAcentral lists this ribosomal RNA (447 nucleotides) under uncultured bacterium. Its description in RNAcentral is "bacterial SSU rRNA". It matches the Rfam family "Bacterial small subunit ribosomal RNA", at positions 355 to 825 of the family's 1533-position model. The record is from RNAcentral.